CUCUAUUGCAUAUAAAGCGGAAACGCUCCAAAAUUUCAAAGCCCCAAAUAGUUAAAAAGAAGUCCGCUGACUCGUUUCCCCGACUCAGCACCAUAAGAAGUCCGCCAAAUCUUUUCCCCGACUCAGGAUCAACGGCUCACCAGCUAUGGGCGAAUCCAUAACCAUCGACGGCAUGGACCAGGACUCGGCACUUUCCAAGUCAGAGUUUCUGAGUCGGCCAGAGGUACUUCGUCGGCGGUCGCGGCGGGUGAAGCAGCUGGCGAGGCUCUACAAAGCUCACUACUGGAAUCUAAUGGAGGAGCUCAAGAGAAAGCACAAGGAGUACUAUUGGCUGUACGGGAAGAGCCCCUUCAAAGAAGAUGAAAAGAAGAGUAGUGAAGAGAACGAUGGGAACAAGUUAGGGUUAGGGUCUGAGUUGAAGUGUCAGAUUUCUGAUUGUAAAGAGAAAGCGAUGGCGUUGACGAGGUUUUGUCAUAAGCAUAUUUUAAACGAUUCAAAGCAGAUGCUUUAUCGAGGCUGUAAUUUUCCUAUCAAGAGUGGCCAGAUAUGUAAGAAACCUGUACUAAGAUCCAUUAAUCCUCCUCAUUGCCCUGUCCAUGCUCAAGCGGCUGAAAAAUAUCUUGCACGAGCACUGAAAAGGGCAGGCCUUAAUUUCUCUUCGCCAAGUAAGCUUGCUCCCAAGUUGCACAUUGUUGUUGCAGAGUAUGUUCGCCAGAUUCAAACUAAAAGAAGAGCUGCACAACGAAAAGCUGUACCCAAAAUCGAGAUUGAGGAGAAAAUGAGUGAAAGCUGAAUAAAUUCUGCAGAAACAUGUUGAGCCAACAGAGUUAGUUGGUCUAUUGCUGCUGAUGGUGCUGACAUAUUUCAGUCUGGGCCAAGUAGGUUUCUAACUCAGUGGAGCUAGGGUAGGGUACAGUGCAACAUUGGAUUUGUUCCUUGGAGACAAUUUUUUGUGCAUAUAAUGUGAAGAUAUUCAUAUUUUACACCUUAUGGAUGGCGUUUUUGGGGGACAACGCAGCUGAGACGUGGUUUGGCUUGUUUAUUGUAGGUUAUUCAUGUUGUCCAAUGAUGAAAUUGGAGACACCAAAGUGUAGAUUCAGUUAUAUCAGCAAAGGAGCAAUGGUGAUGUGAGUUGCAUAUAAUUGGGUAUUACUUGGGGUGAAUGUUCCAAAAGCUAUUUUAGAAUUUUGGUUAACUUUUAAUUCUUAAUAACUCUCUAUUAUCAACAAUUGUUUGCAUCAAUUUAACUGUACUCUGGCAGCAAUUAUUUGUAACAUUUAACUAAAUGCACCACAUUCGGUCAAUAAAGCAAAUUGACAUAU
Theobroma umbraticum is the source of this 1322-nucleotide RNA transcript. RefSeq lists it as uncharacterized. The record is from RefSeq and is a predicted model, not a curated record. Lineage: Eukaryota; Viridiplantae; Streptophyta; Magnoliopsida; Malvales; Malvaceae.